UAGACUUGAGACUCCAGAGUUUGGGAUCCUGGUCCAGAUCAUGCCACUGCUUACCAAGGUCCUGCCUACCAUAAUCCAGGAGGUGGUCUUCCAGACAUUAAAUAGGAUCAUGAAAUCAAUGGCGUGAGCCUUCACAACAGACUGAUAUGAUAUGGAAAUGCCAGCUCAGAAGAUGUGGUGAGCUUUGAUAAUUCAGGAAUUGACUGACAGAAGGAGGACCUCAUUUGGGCAG
Long non-coding RNA from Pan troglodytes (chimpanzee), 232 nucleotides. RefSeq lists it as uncharacterized. The record is from RefSeq and is a predicted model, not a curated record. The transcript is spliced from 3 exons. Lineage: Eukaryota; Metazoa; Chordata; Mammalia; Primates; Hominidae.